GACGAACGCUGGCGGCGUGCCUAACACAUGCAAGUCGAGCGAAUGAAGUUCCUUCGGGAACGGAUUUAGCGGCGGACGGGUGAGUAACACGUGGGCAACCUGCCUCAUAGAGGGGAAUAGCCUUCCGAAAGGGAGAUUAAUACCGCAUAAGAUUGUAGUACCGCAUGGUACAGCAAUUAAAGGAGCAAUCCGCUAUGAGAUGGGCCCGCGGCGCAUUAGCGAGUUGGUGAGGUAACGGCUCACCAAGGCGACGAUGCGUAGCCGACCUGAGAGGGUGAUCGGCCACAUUGGGACUGAGACACGGCCCAGACUCCUACGGGAGGCAGCAGUGGGGAAUAUUGCACAAUGGAGGAAACCCUGAUGCAGCAACGCCGCGUGAGUGAUGACGGCCUUCGGGUUGUAAAGCUCUGUCUUCAGGGACGAUAAUGACGGUACUUGAGGAGGAAGCCACGGCUAACUACGUGCCAGCCGCCGCCGUAA
Molecule: ribosomal RNA, 480 nt
Filed under: uncultured bacterium
Lineage: Bacteria
Description: partial 16S ribosomal RNA
Rfam family: Bacterial small subunit ribosomal RNA
Source: RNAcentral